Chelonoidis abingdonii (Abingdon island giant tortoise) is the source of this 108-nucleotide ribosomal RNA. The record is from Ensembl. NCBI's taxonomy places the organism in Eukaryota, Metazoa, Chordata, Testudines, Testudinidae.
ACCUGCAGGUCUCCUGUAUGGGGCUUGUCACCAAACUAGCUAAGCAGGCUCAGGCUGGGUCAAUACUUGGCUAGGAGACUUCCAAGAAACACCCUGCUGCUGCAGGAA